GACAGAGGGUGCAAACGUUGUUCGGAAUCACUGGGCGUAAAGCGCACGCAGGCGGAUUGAUAAGUCAGGGGUGAAAUCCCGGGGCUCAACCCCGGAACUGCCCUUGAAACUGGAGAGCUAGAAUCUUGGAGAGGCGAGUGGAAUUCCGAGUGUAGAGGUGAAAUUCGUAGAUAUUCGGAAGAACACCAGUGGCGAAGGCGACUCGCUGGACAAGUAUUGACGCUGAGGUGCGAAAGCGUGGGGAGCAAACAGG
This 253-nucleotide ribosomal RNA is filed under the name uncultured bacterium. RNAcentral describes it as "partial 16S ribosomal RNA". It matches the Rfam family "Bacterial small subunit ribosomal RNA", at positions 524 to 776 of the family's 1533-position model. The record is from RNAcentral.